Molecule: long non-coding RNA, 4056 nt
Filed under: Homo sapiens (human)
Lineage: Eukaryota; Metazoa; Chordata; Mammalia; Primates; Hominidae
Description: HSALNT0118942
Source: RNAcentral
UCUGUGUCUAGAAAAUAAGAAAAUUGUGUUUUUUUUGUGGUGGGGGUUGUUUGUGGUUUGAGAGAUUUUUUUUUAAAUUUUCACAGUGAAAGCAGCUACUUAAUCCAAAAAACAAAAUAUCUAUGAUACAUACCUACAUCUAGGGAGCAAGAAAAUCCUGUUGUUUUCAUCCAAACCACAGCUUUUAAAAAGCAAGACAAAACUUUAGGUGACAAAUGUAUCAUAAGUAUCAUAAUUCCUACCUUAGCACUGCCUGAGUAAGACUUCACAGGAAGUUUAGAAAGAUAAUCCAGAACUUCAAGACUAAAACUGUACCAGAAGAAAUUAGAUCUGUUGAUAUAUAUGUAUUUUAAAUCAACUACAAUUAUUCAUUUAUGUCCGUUCCCAUUUGAAAUAGCUGCACUGAGCACCUGAGUGGCUCUGGAGUGAAUAUGUGUAAGAUCUUAGAAGAGGCCACAUGUGUUUGUUCCUGACUCAGGCCCUCAGUGGCUGAGCUGAAAUAGAUGGCCUUCCAUGGUGAUUUUGAACAAAACAGUUUUGAAUUGUUUUAAUCCAAGUCAUAUAUUGUGAACUUUCCACCCAAGGUAGACCAUUGCUUGCGGACGUAAGAAACAUUGAUAUUGAAGUGCAAAUUAAUGGGGCAGAUACAAAUAAUAAUUUUGCAAGUGUGUCUCCUGAUUUAUCAGAUUCAUAAUUUGCAUUCAUCUCACCAAUUUUCUUAUUUAGCUUAUUUCUUAGUUAUUUCUUGUAUUUCAAAAACAUAGGAGAGUACAAAAGUACUGUAUUCAUUUUAGUCUUUCAUUUAUUGAAAAACUAUUCUAUCCUUGCCCAGAAUGUGUUAUUUGGAUUUGCAAGAACUGGAAAGUAGCCUUAGCAUUUUUUAUCUUUUCAUUUACAAAUAAAAAUCAAGAAAUUAUUUUAAAAAUGAAUUUAAGUGCAAAAUGCAAGAAUUACAAAUACUAGCUCACUGAAUCAUUUUUUCAUACCCUAACACAUAUUUCAACUCAGUGUAAAUUUUAACAUACAGUCAAUCCUUAAUUCAAACAUAACAAAGCAAGUAAUCUUUAAAUUAAUUUGCCAAAAAUAUUAAUAUUCUGCGUGAAUAUUUAAUAUUGAAUACUUCUUUAAAAUAUUUCUUUAAAAUAUUCUACAUAAAUAUUUUUUAAAAAUAAAUUUAAACAUACUAUUUGGCUAUUUGUAAAUAAUUUUUUUUAAUAUUAGAAGGUAUCUUUUUAUUACACAGAAACUCAAAUCAAGAAAUAAUUUUUAAAUCCCUAAAAAGGGGGCAAAAUAUAUUUGUAAAUAUCUCUCCUUAAAGGAAGACAAUUCACUUUAGGAAGGUAGAAGAAAUGAAACCCUGUGGAAACUGCUGCAGGGUAAGCUUCUCACACAGUAAGGAGGCAGGGCUAAAUCCUAAACUCAAGAGUUCAGAUUCUAUUUCCUUAAGACCUUUGUGGUUUUAUAGUCUGGCCAAUUUACACAAAGAGGAAAACAGAAAACAAAGGUAGUCAUUGCCCUAAACAUUACUUGUGAAAAUUUAGAGCCACAUUUUUUCACCUUGGGUAGGAAGAAAAAAAAAGAAGAGGAAGAAAGAGACAGAGGGAAAUAGAAAGCAAGCAAGCAAAGGAGCUUAUUUAUCUCCAGAAAAUUCAUUAUUUUCCCAAUGGUGGGUAAGCUGGAACAGGAAGGCAACACCAGUUUUAUUUUGGAUGAUAAAUGUUAUCUUGUGCAAUUUCACAUAUAAGGUGUGUUCCUUCUCCUGCCUACUAAGUUAAGGCAUGUGGGCGUCUGAACAUUUGGCUUAGAGCUAAAAAUGCCACGCCGAGAUUUGUCUUUGCUCUAUAGGACUCAAACUGGCAGAAGAACAUAAACAUGGUAUGUAAAACUUGGUGUUCCUGCUCCUCCUUUAAGACUUAAAACAAACAGACUGGAAUCCUACAGCUGUGGAUGACUCAGAUCCACAAAGGAGACAACUUCAAAAGCAGCCUCUCUAGUCUCCCUUUCAUCCUAUCAGUAGCGAAUUGAUUAGACUGCUCUCCCAUUAUCCAAAGCAUUCCACACUCUGUGGGCCUCACACAACCUUUGUGUGCUAGAGAAGCUGAGGCUCCCACACAAAGAAAAAGAGAGAAAGGUCACCCAGGACUGGCAGUAGUUUGCCUGAGAAAAACAAUGACCUCCUCCACUAAUACCAGGAAGACCUUUCCAGGAAGCCAAUGCCAAGGAAAGGAGAAAGUAUUCACAGAUGAAGAGGUACAUACAUCAUGUGACACUUCCCCAGAUUGCUUCAUCCAAGUCUGUUGCUAAUCCCUCCAUCCUCUCCUCCAAGCACCCACCAGAAUGCAUGUCCCAGUACACCAGGAACAACUUCUGGCACACUAUAAAGAAUGAUUCCAGUUGUGAGCAGAAGAUACCAGGGCUUUUCACACAGAAAGCCUGAUUGGAGAGACAAACAGUAUUCACAACCUUCCUGGAAAGGAAUCAGAAGGAGAAACUACUCCCCAGCAAGCAUGGACCAUUUCUAACAAAAAAGAGAAAGUGACUCAAGUCAUGAAGCUAAAAGCCCAGAUGAAGGAGCCAAGAGCCACAGAAACCCACUCCCAGGAACUCAAAUGGCAACCUAGUUCACAGAUUUUCCAAUUGAAAGAAACCAUAUUUGUCUCAUCCUUACCUGGAACCGAUUGGAAUAUCAAGAUUCUACACCUCAAGCCUGAGCCUAAUCCCAGAAUGGGCUGAGACACUGAGACAUCUUGGGAAGGUGGAAGUAUAUUCUCCAGUUGUUAAGAACGUGGAUUAUGGUGAGUAUACUAGAUGAAGAGAGGGCAAUUAGGAACCAUUACAAUGCUCCAGUAAAAAGUAUGUAUUAUUACCUACAUUAGGAAAAUGUCAGUUGACCUACAGAGAAGUGGAGAGAUUCAAGAUAUAUAUACAAGGUAGAAUGGGCAAGUUUUGAAGGCUGAUUGGAUGUCAGGGUUGAGAGAAAGGCAACAUUUUUGAACGAUGCAACUUUAAAGUUUAUAUCUUACACAACUGAGUGGAUAGUGAUCCCAAUUCACUAUAAAACAUGGGCAAAACAGGAGGUUCAUUGCGGAGAAUGAGAGUUCACUUUUAGACACUGAAUUUAAGGUGCUUAUGGAGCAUUCAAACAGAAAUAUCCAGAGUAUGGUUACAUAUACUGGUUUAAAGCUCAGGAGAGAUCUGAGUGAAAGAUACAAAUUUUAGGCUAUCUGUAAUAACUAAAACAAUGAAAAUGGAUGAUAGAGGCUAGUGGUAAUGUGUAGCAUGCUAAAAGAAUAAAGCCUAGAGUUGAAUCCUGAUAAACACCAGAACUUAAGAGUAACGCAGAGAAAUAGAAGGCAACAGAGAAUAAAAAUAAGCAGUCACAAAGUAAGUGCAAAGUUGUAAGACUGCAGUGACAGGAAAGGUAAAAGUGUUCUGUGAAAGCAAAAGUGGUAAGCUCUGCUUGCUCCCUGAGAAGCAGGAGGAGAUAUGAAUUAGGACAAGGCUAGAGGAACAGAACUAACUAGGAGGAGAAAUAAUUGUCCAUGGUAGUAAGAGGUAUGAGAGAGUUAUGGGUAAAUUUAUCUGAUACUUUCAACUUUCCCCCUUCAACAAGUAUUAAAGUAAAUAGAAAUGGAAACCAGGACUGAAAAACUCCUGAGCAAUCAAAUCUAGUCAGGCCUCUUAAGCGACUUUAACCUUGCUCAAUAUGCAAACAUAAGUGAAACUUAACUUGAGCUAUUUAUUGUGAAUGCAUACAUUAAAGAAAAACAGAAAUUAAGCUCAAUCAAUUGGAAGCAGCCAACAGACUUAUAAUUAUAUAACUCAGGACUAUCCAAUAGUAUAUACCAAAUAAGGCAACUGUAUAGCUAUAGCCAAUCAAGUAUCUUCUUUGCUUUACUUCUGUGUUCAUUUCAUAAAAACCUCCCUCUUGCAUUUUCCUGGUGGAUCUCCUGAACCACUUCUUGUCUGGAACUUCCCAAUUCAUGAAUCAUUGUUUGCUCAAAUAAACUCUAUAAAAAAAAUUACUGUGCCUCAGUUUACCUUUUUAACAAGGGG